RNAcentral lists this ribosomal RNA (779 nucleotides) under uncultured Neocallimastigales. RNAcentral describes it as "partial large subunit ribosomal RNA". It matches the Rfam family "Eukaryotic large subunit ribosomal RNA", at positions 19 to 637 of the family's 3401-position model. The record is from RNAcentral. Lineage: Eukaryota; Fungi; Neocallimastigomycota; Neocallimastigomycetes; Neocallimastigales.
UCGAGCACGCGCGUGUGGCAUAUCAAUAAGCGGAGGAAAAGAAACUAACAAGGAUUCCCUAGUAUCGGCGAGUGAAGCGGGAAGAGCUCAAAUUUGAAAUCUUAAAGGUUUCCCUUGACGAAUUGUAGUUUAUAGAAGUGUUUUCUGUUAGUGGAGUUCGGUAAAAGUUCUUUGGAAUAGGACAUCAUAGAGGGUGAGAAUCCCGUAUUUGACCGUUACUUUCCUAGCUGUGUGAUACAGCUUUCAAAGAGUCGGAUUGUUUGGGAAUGCAGUCCAAAAUGGGUGGUAAAUUUCAUCUAAAGCUAAAUAUUGGCGAGAGACCGAUAGCGAACAAGUACCGUGAGGGAAAGAUGAAAAGAACUUUGAAAAGAGAGUUAAACAGUACGUGAAAUUGUCAAAAGGGAAGCGUUUGACACCAGUGUUGUUUUUCCGAAAAUCAAUUACGAAUGUUUUAUUUUUGAGGAGUUAUGACUUCAUCGGCUUGCUUCUCUCUUUAUGAAACUUUCUUAAUGCACUUUUCGGUUAACAAGUCAACAUCAAUUUCUUUUGUUGUAAAAGGGUAUGAGGAAGGUGGCUUUCUUUUCGGAGAAAGUGUUUAUAGCCUUGUAGCCUCUGCAAUCGGAGAGAUUGAGGUCUGCAGCGUAGAUCCUUCGGGGUUAGAUACGUUUGUGCUAAGUUAUAGCUUUUCAUAGACAACUUGUUGACUAUGUUUAGUCUUGUAGCUUACUCGCUGAUGCUAUUUUACCUACGCUUAGGAUGUUGAGCGCAUGUCUCUCUCU